Molecule: ribosomal RNA, 524 nt
Filed under: Vibrio sp.
Lineage: Bacteria; Pseudomonadati; Pseudomonadota; Gammaproteobacteria; Vibrionales; Vibrionaceae
Description: bacterial SSU rRNA
Rfam family: Bacterial small subunit ribosomal RNA
Source: RNAcentral
GGCAGCAGUGGGGAAUAUUGCACAAUGGGCGCAAGCCUGAUGCAGCCAUGCCGCGUGUAUGAAGAAGGCCUUCGGGUUGUAAAGUACUUUCAGUCGUGAGGAAGGCGUCGUCGUUAAUAGCGGCGUUGUUUGACGUUAGCGACAGAAGAAGCACCGGCUAACUCCGUGCCAGCAGCCGCGGUAAUACGGAGGGUGCGAGCGUUAAUCGGAAUUACUGGGCGUAAAGCGCAUGCAGGUGGUUUGUUAAGUCAGAUGUGAAAGCCCGGGGCUCAACCUCGGAAUAGCAUUUGAAACUGGCAGACUAGAGUACUGUAGAGGGGGGUAGAAUUUCAGGUGUAGCGGUGAAAUGCGUAGAGAUCUGAAGGAAUACCGGUGGCGAAGGCGGCCCCCUGGACAGAUACUGACACUCAGAUGCGAAAGCGUGGGGAGCAAACAGGAUUAGAUACCCUGGUAGUCCACGCCGUAGACGAUGUCUACUUGGAGGUUGUGGCCUUGAGCCGGGGCUUUCGGAGCUAACGCGUUAA